This 466-nucleotide ribosomal RNA is filed under the name uncultured bacterium. RNAcentral describes it as "partial 16S ribosomal RNA". It matches the Rfam family "Bacterial small subunit ribosomal RNA", at positions 28 to 507 of the family's 1533-position model. The record is from RNAcentral.
GACGAACGCUGGCGGCGCGCCUAACACAUGCAAGUCGAACGAGCGAGAGAGAGCUUGCUUUCUCGAGCGAGUGGCGAACGGGUGAGUAACGCGUGAGGAACCUGCCUCAAAGAGGGGGACAACAGUUGGAAACGACUGCUAAUACCGCAUAAGCCCACGACCCGGCAUCGGGUAGAGGGAAAAGGAGCAAUCCGCUUUGAGAUGGCCUCGCGUCCGAUUAGCUAGUUGGUGAGGUAACGGCCCACCAAGGCGACGAUCGGUAGCCGGACUGAGAGGUUGAACGGCCACAUUGGGACUGAGACACGGCCCAGACUCCUACGGGAGGGAGCAGUGGGGAAUAUUGCACAAUGGGGGAAACCCUGAUGCAGCGACGCCGCGUGGAGGAAGAAGGUCUUCGGAUUGUAAACUCCUGUUGUUGAGGAAGAUAAUGACGGUACUCAACAAGGAAGUGACGGCUAACUACGUG